This 351-nucleotide long non-coding RNA is filed under the name Homo sapiens (human). RNAcentral's name for it is "non-protein coding lnc-OPN3-2:1". Lineage: Eukaryota; Metazoa; Chordata; Mammalia; Primates; Hominidae. The record is from RNAcentral.
CGGCCGCUGAAGUAAACCAGGAUUAUGGUCUUGAUCCAAAGAUUGCUAAUGCAAUAAUGAAGGCAGCAGAUGAGGUAGCUGAAGGUAAAUUAAAUGAUCAUUUUCCUCUCGUGGUAUGGCAGACUGGAUCAGGAACUCAGACAAAUAUGAAUGUAAAUGAAGUCAUUAGCAAUAGAGCAAUUGAAAUGUUAGGAGGUGAACUUGGCAGCAAGAUACCUGUGCAUCCCAACGAUCAUGUUAAUAAAAGCCAGGUCAGUAUGUGAGCUUUGCUGUUUUUUGGUUAUAAAUUGAAAAGCAUACCUGAGAUUGUUCUUGUAAAACAAGCAUUCACUUUUUGACAAGAAGUGUUCA